RNAcentral lists this long non-coding RNA (1490 nucleotides) under Setaria viridis. RNAcentral's name for it is "long non-coding RNA (SVIR_LNC000695)". Lineage: Eukaryota; Viridiplantae; Streptophyta; Magnoliopsida; Poales; Poaceae. The record is from RNAcentral.
CCGCGUCAUCAUCCGCCAAUCCCCGCACGGCUCCGGAGCAGCUUGCACGGUUCGACUCGGCUCUGAGCCUGAACGCCAGCGCACCCACCAAUUAACAUCGCCGAGCGAUACACCGGCGACCUCCGCUGCCCCUUCCCGGCUUCCCCAGCCCGUCCCCCGUCGCUGUAGCCCAGCGACGGCCUUGCAGCGACCCAGCGGUGGCCCUUCCGCUCUCACGACAAGCACCCUCCCGAAUCGGCGGCACCAUAUGGAGCGGCCGGCCGGCGAUGGCGUCAGAUCCCGGCGGCAGGCAACGGAGAGACCCCGACCGGUCUGCGCAUGGGUUAUGCCGUCCUCACCGAUAGGGUGUCAAGCAGCUCCGGUAAUCUAUCUCCUGUUUAUUUCAUCCGAUUUGGUUUCGCAGCAGGAACCUGAAGUCAGAUUAUUGAUUAGGCUUCAAAUCAGAUGACACUCUGGCCACAUCCGCAGCUUCAAAUCGGAUGACACUCCCGUCCAUGGAGACGCUCCAAUCCACCUGCGGCGAUUUGCCAUCCAUCCCCAAGGCCAGUGGGCAGCCGUUGGCAUCCAUCCACCGUGGGCAUCGUCUAAAGCACUGCCGCCAUGACUUGCGCUAGGCUUCCCCACCAAUCCCAAUCCGUGCAUAGAGAAGAAUGGAUUGUGAGGUGAGCAUUCGUGCAAAUCUGUGUAUCCCAGUUCGUUAUUUUUGUAUGGGCCUUCCAAAUUUCUGAUUAAUCCAUGGAUGAGGAACGGGAGAUUUUUUCUACACUGUCAAUCCAAUUUUUAGUGCUAUUCCGUUGGUUUGAGGUUAGCAGCCACAAAAAUCUGCCUUGUUAAUUCAAAAAGAUAAAACUGGUAUGGUUGUUCUAUUCCUGGCACGGAUUGUUUUGUUGGAUUAUCUUACAAUCCUGUCAUUGUAGUAUGGUACAGAAAUUCGCCUUAUUAAUUCGAAGGACUUUGCGGGCCACAAGGGCAAUGUCCAGGUCAGCCUCUCUGCUCUCUACUCUCUAAUUGUACUCAUGAUCACCGUGCUCACGCAGCAGUUUCAUUUCCUGUCCUGAUAUUGUUCCCUGAACUGAAUUCUUCCUUCAGUGGGCGAGAUGAGUGCAUCAAGAUAAUGCCUCCUCCUGCAGAAUUCGACUGGGCGAGUAGAUGCAAUCAUUUAUUUCAGUGCUUUACUACAUUCCCAAUCGAGCUCAUUCAUCAUGCAAUAGGAACAGUAGGCCAAUUCAUCAUCAUCUGCACAUUUCUGAAAUUUAUACAAGUACGUUUUGCCUAAAAAUUAGUUCAUGCAUCAGAUUAACGCCUAUUUCUGCAAGUUUACACAACUCUACUGUAAGAGUAGAUGCAAUGAUUAAUUCAUUGUUUUACUACCUUUCCAAUAAAGCUGUGUAAUCCUGGAGUAAAUUUAAUAUAGGCGCAGUUCAUCAUCAUACGCACAUAUAUCAAAUUUAUAUAAAAUAUUGUAAAAAUUAUUUUGUAUUAAAACAACU